AUGGAGGGUGACAGGAAAUCUGAGACUGAGAAGAUGCUGAAAACUAGUUCUGUUGUUACACGUUCAACAGCAUCAUCAAAAAGGUCUAGUAGGACAUCGGCUAGCAUGGCUGCUGCCAAAGCACGAGCUAGAGCUGAGGCAGAGCGUACACGUGCAUAUUAUGUCAAGAAAGAAACUGAAAUGAAAGUAGAAAAAGUUCGCAUGGAAGGCAGUCUUACAGCACUAGAACAUGAAAAGGAGGCUGCUGCCGCUAUGGCCGAGGCAAGAAUAUUAGAGGAGGCUGUAGAGAGCAUGGAGGAAGGCAGUUAUCGUUCACAUAGCCCGAUUGCUCCUGCUGCAGACCCUGUGCAGCGCACGAGUGAUUAUGUGGAGCAGCACACAAAUAACUCCAUUGUUGUUCCUCCUGAGGAAAUAAGUUUAGCCACUCCACCUGUUGAUUUCAUGAACCUUUAUGGAAGUGAAAACAAGCAGUUAAAGGAAAGCUCUCAUAGGAGUGUGCCACCUGAUUUUGUUGAACAAGUCAACGAUUCAGUCUCAAAGCCUUACGCUAACAAGAUUGAAAAGCCUCAGUCUGCCACGUACAGUCCAGUUAAUUACUGGCCCCUUGCACAGACUUUCAAUUCCGGCGUUCCUAUGCAGUCAUCUUCCCACGGAGAAGUUGAAAUGAGUGAUUUAGCAAGAUUUCUUGCCCGUCGUGAGAUCAUUAGUUCCGGGCUCACAAUAUUCGACGAUCACCCAGAAAACUACUGGGCUUGGAAAUCCUCUUUCUUAAAUGCCACCAGUGGGCUCAAACUCUCUUCCAGUGAGCAGUUGGAUUUACUGAUUAAGUGGUUAGGCAGUCGGUCAUCAGAAUAUGUGAGACGCAUCAGGUCAGUGAAUAUAAGGUAUCCUGAUGCAGGGCUUAAAAUGGCAUGGGAUCGUCUAGAAGAGAUGUAUGGAUCCCCGGAAGUGGUUGAGAAAGCACUUUUUGACAAAAUUGAGAAAUUUCCAAAAAUCAAUAAACAAGAUCCUCUGAAAUUACAAGAGCUCGGAGAUCUGCUACGUGAGGUUCAGUCUGCUAAAGCUGAAGGGUACUUGACAGGACUUUCUUAUCUGGACACCUCCAGAGGAGUCAAUCCGAUCGUGGAGAAGCUGCCUUAUCACCUGCAAGAAAAAUGGAUUUAUCAGGGUUCUGAGUACAAAAGGAAGUACAACGUUACCUUCCCUCCAUUCUCCUUUCUUACUGACUUUGUCUGUCAGGAAGCACGUACUCGAAACGAUCCAAGCUUUAGCUAUAGUGCAGUCUGUACAACCCAGAUCAAAGCAGAACCGUUGGUUAAAAGACAAUUGCAAAGAAGGAUGGCCGUGUCUACACACAAGACGGGUGUAACAUCGUCAACCGGAUUUCUUCCCACAAGAAGUUCCGAAAAUGAACCUAUUGAUGUUGAAAAGCAGUGUCCUAUACAUAAAAACAAACCUCAUCCUCUGAGACGUUGCCGUGGGUUUAGAGCGAAGACUCUAGAAGAAAGGCAAACACUGCUUAGAGAAAAUGGUGUGUGCUAUAGGUGUUGUGCUUCGACGGUUCACUUGGCAAAGAACUGCAAGGCAGUAAUCAAAUGUAACGAAUGUGAAAGCGACCGACAUAUGUCUGCACUUCAUCCUGGUCCUCCACCGUGGGCCAACAAAGACCCUUCAUCAGAUCAUGGCGGGGAGGAGGAUAAAAGCCCUUCUCCUACUGUAACUUCACAAUGCACAGAGAUUUGUGGAGACAGUCCUAUACCUAAAUCAUGCUCUAAGAUAUGCUUGAUAGGAGUAUAUCAUGAGGAUCAUCCAGAAAUUAUGGUCAAGAUGUACGCAGUGCUCGAUGAGCAAAGUAAUAGAUCUCUAGCUAGACCUGAGUUUUUUGAUCUAUUCAAAGUAAAAGGAACAGAGCAUCCAUACUCUCUUCGAACUUGUGCUGGGUUAACAGAAACUUCAGGAAGAAGAGCCACUGGGUUUCAAGCUGUAUCUAUGGAUGGAAAGACACAUGUGUCACUUCCAACACUCAUCGAGUGUAAUUAUAUGCCUGACGACCAUUCUGAGAUCCCAUCUCCCACCAUUGCACGCCAGUUCCCUCACUUGAUAUCUAUUGCUCACGAAAUACCAGAGAUAGAUCCAUGUGCUAAGAUACUGCUUCUCUUAGGGAGAGACAUCAUCCAAGUCCACAAAGUGAGGAAACAGCUCAACGGUUUGAAUAAUUCACCGUACGCCCAAAAACUCGACUUUGGCUGGGUGAUAGUGGGAAAUGUCUGCUUGGGGUCAGCACAUAAACCUAGCACAGUUGACGUGUUCCGCACAAACAUACUUCUCAAUGGACGCCCAAGCAUAUGUGAGCCAUGUCCUAAUCAGAUACAGGUGAAAGAGAAGCUAAGCAGUAAAAAUCAUCCCAUCUCUUUACAUGGCUGUCGCUUUUACCCAUCCACCUGCCCUGAGUACUUGCUGGGUAACACUAUUUUCGAACGGACUCAAGACGAUGAAAAGAUAGCCCCUUCCAUUGAAGAUCGUUCAUUCUUGAAACUGAUGGACAAGGAAAUGUUCAUUGACAGCUCUAACAGCUGGGUGGCACCUCUUCCGUUCCGUAUUCCACGCCAACAGCUACCCAACAAUAGGGACCUGAGUAGGAAACGUCUCUUGUCACUUCAACAGACACUAAGGAAGAAGCCUCAAAUGCAGGAACAUUUCAUCACAUUCAUGCAAAGGAUUUUCGAUGCAGGUCAUGCAGAAUUAGCUCCACCUGUGAUGAAAAAUGAGGAAGUGUGGUACCUGCCUAUAUUUGGUGUCUAUCACCCUCCCAAGCCAGGACAGAUCAGAGUUGUUUUUGACUCUAGUGCUCAGUACAAAGGCCUUUCUUUGAAUCAAGUGCUUCUCUCAGGACCUGACCUGAAUAACUCCUUGCUAGGUGUUUUGCUGCGUUUCCGUAAAGAAGCAGUUGCAUUUACUGCUGACAUUGAACAGAUGUUCCAUAGCUUUGUGGUGAGAGAAGAUCACCGCAACUUUCUCCGCUUCUUGUGGUUUGAGGACAAUGACCUCUCGAAAGAUGUCACAGAGUAUAGGAUGAAGGUCCAUGUCUUUGGGAAUAGUCCCUCUCCCGCGGUAGCAAUCUAUGGACUUCAUCGUGCAGCUCAACAUGGAGAACUUGAGUUUGGGAAAGAUGCAAGAGCCUUUGUGGAGCGUAAUUUUUAUGUGGAUGAUGGCCUGAAAUCAGUGCCCACAGCUGUGGAAGCAGUUGGUCUGUUGAAAAGAACUCAGGAGAUGCUAGCAAGUUCCAACCUGAGGCUUCAUAAAAUAGCAUCUAACAGUCCUGAUGUAAUGAAUGCCUUUCCUGUGGAGGACCAUGUGAAAUAUCUCAAGGACCUCGAUCUGGAAAAAGAUACUCUACCUAUUCAGAGGAGCCUUGGUCUGAGCUGGAAUCUUAAAACAGACACUUUCACUUUUCGUGUUGAUGCAGAAGAGAAGCCUUUUACACGUAGAGGUGUCUUAGCAACUGUCAACAGCGUUUUUGACCCUCUUGGAUUGGCAGCACCUGUUACAAUACAAGGAAAGUUCCUUCUUCGUGACCUGACAGCAGACACCAAAGACUGGGAUGCCCCUCUACCAACAGUCAGGGAAGCUGAAUGGGAGGCUUGGAAAAACUCUUUGCAAGAUCUAGCUCAAUUUGAAAUACCCAGAGUGUACUCAAAGGUUUCGCUAUCUUCAGCUAAAAGGAAAGAAAUUCACGUUUUCUCAGAUGCUUCCACAAAGGCAAUUGCAGCAGUAGCUUACCUGAGAGUGAUGAAUGACAAUGGAUCAUGUACAGUAGGGUUUGUGAUAGGCAAGGCUAAGCUUGCUCCACUGUCUGCUCACACUGUACCUCGAUUAGAGCUUGGAGCAGCAGUCCUGGCAGUAGAAGUGGCAGAACUCAUUCAAGGUGAGAUGGAUAUUACUCCAGAUGCUGUAGAAUUCUAUUCCGACAGUAAAGUAGUGUUGGGGUAUAUUCAUAACCAAACCAGACGGUUUUACGUAUACGUGAGUAAUAGAGUCCAGCGGAUUAGGAAAUCUACAAGGCCAGAAUAG
Long non-coding RNA from Carassius auratus (goldfish), 4071 nucleotides. Lineage: Eukaryota; Metazoa; Chordata; Actinopteri; Cypriniformes; Cyprinidae. The record is from Ensembl.